RNAcentral lists this ribosomal RNA (253 nucleotides) under uncultured bacterium. Its description in RNAcentral is "partial 16S ribosomal RNA". It matches the Rfam family "Bacterial small subunit ribosomal RNA", at positions 524 to 776 of the family's 1533-position model. The record is from RNAcentral.
UACGUAGGGGGCAAGCGUUGUCCGGAUUUAUUGGGCGUAAAGAGCGUGUAGGCGGCCAAGUAAGUCUGCUGUGAAAACUCGAGGCUUAACCUCGAGCUGUCGGCGGAAACUAUUUGGCUAGAGUCCGGAAGAGGAGAAUGGAAUUCCCGGUGUAGCGGUGAAAUGCGCAGAUAUUGGGAGGAACACCAGUGGCGAAGGCGGCUCACUGGACCGGAACUGACGCUGAGGCGCGAAAGCCAGGGGAGCGAACGGG